RNAcentral lists this unclassified non-coding RNA (348 nucleotides) under soil metagenome. Its description in RNAcentral is "partial contains 5.8S ribosomal RNA, internal transcribed spacer 2, and large subunit ribosomal RNA". The stretch from base 1 to 120 matches the Rfam family "5.8S ribosomal RNA", at positions 35 to 154 of the family's 154-position model. The record is from RNAcentral.
GAUGAAGAACGUAGCGAAAUGCGAUAAGUAAUGUGAAUUGCAGAAUUCAGUGAAUCAUCGAGUCUUUGAACGCACAUUGCGCCCCCUGGUAUUCCGGGGGGCAUGCCUGUCCGAGCGUCAUUGCCGCCCUCAAGCACGGCUUGUGUGUUGGGCCCCCGCCCCCCGGCUUCGGGGGGCGGGCCCGAAAGGCAGCGGCGGCACCGCGUCCGGUCCUCGAGCGUAUGGGGCUUCGUCACCCGCUCUGUAGGCCCGGCCGGCGCCCGCCGGCGACCCCAAUCAAUCUUUCCAGGUUGACCUCGGAUCAAGUAGUGAUACCCGCUGAACUUAAGCAUAUCAAUAAGCGGAGGA